Molecule: ribosomal RNA, 279 nt
Filed under: uncultured bacterium
Lineage: Bacteria
Description: partial 16S ribosomal RNA
Rfam family: Bacterial small subunit ribosomal RNA
Source: RNAcentral
UGCCAGCAGCCGCGGUAAUACGAAGGGACCUAGCGUAGUUCGGAAUUACUGGGCUUAAAGAGCUCGUAGGUGGUUAAAAAAGUUGAUGGUGAAAUCCCAAGGCUCAACCUUGGAACUGCCAUCAAAACUUUUUAGCUAGAGUAUGAUAGAGGAAAGUGGAAUUUCUAGUGUAGAGGUGAAAUUCGUAGAUAUUAGAAAGAACAUCAAAUGCGAAGGCAACUUUCUGGAUCAUUACUGACACUGAGGAGCGAAAGCAUGGUUAGCGAAGAGGAUUAGAUA